AGAGUGGCUUCAGGCGUCUAUCAAGCCAACCAAAUCCCUCCUCUCUCUCUGGCUCUCCCCACCUAAAACAAAACUACUGUCCCCAACAUCCCAAAUUGCCCCUCUGCAGGCCAGGAAACUCUCCACCUCCUUUCCAUCAAGGGAGAAGACUCGUAGCCAGCCCCAGAUCGGGGCCUUUGCUUCCUUUUGGUCAGCCUCCCGGGGGCCUUGCAUUAGCCCGGGGCCUUAGGCGAC
Molecule: long non-coding RNA, 234 nt
Filed under: Phoenix dactylifera (date palm)
Lineage: Eukaryota; Viridiplantae; Streptophyta; Magnoliopsida; Arecales; Arecaceae
Description: long non-coding RNA (PDAC_LNC000957)
Source: RNAcentral